Molecule: unclassified non-coding RNA, 2863 nt
Filed under: Hevea brasiliensis (rubber tree)
Lineage: Eukaryota; Viridiplantae; Streptophyta; Magnoliopsida; Malpighiales; Euphorbiaceae
Source: RNAcentral
GUCAUCAAAAAGGGUACUAAUGAUGAUAUUACUUAACAGCCAAUAAUGCACAAAUAACAAACAUCUCUGAAGAAAGUUAAUUUUGAUAUUAGCAGAUGCUGCUACAGUUUCUAAUGGUCGUGGGUUUAUAAAAAUUAAAAAAAAAAAAAAUCAACACGAAUUAAAAACACAGUGCCAUAAGUGACACACUACCAACCUUGGUCAUGCCAAUACCACCAUCAAUGAUGGGCAAUGUGUUGUAAGUUUUGUCAGGAACAAUGCGGAGGAAGAGCUCAAGUUGAACAUCAAGCUUGCUCGCCUGUCAAGCUCUCCAAUCUGAUUUUGUCCAAAGCCUGGAACAAAGAGGGGGAAAAAUAAGAACUACCAACAAUUCAUUAGAAAUAAAAGCUUCAGCAAAACCCUGUUUAGUCAAUUCCCAAAUGUAAGCGCAGGACCACUCCUCUUGACAUGAGCCUGAUCCGAAUUUGAAUUAGAAUUAAAUUAAAAUUAGUCGGAUCAAUAUUAAAUUAAAAUCAAAUUGAAAAAUGAUCAAAGUUUAAUUUGAUCAAAAUUAUCUUCAAUUGAUUAUACUGAUUUUAACUUAUUUUAAUCAGUUCUGAAUCAAAAUUAAAAUUUUCACUUUUUCAAGAGAAAAAUAAAACUUUAACCGUCAACUUUGAUCAAAAUAAAUUGAACUGAAUAAAUCAAAUUGAAUCAAAUUAAAUUGAAUUCAAAAGGAACCAUUUAAUCCAGUCCAAAGCUAACUAUAACAUUAAACCUACCAGCUCCAACUUUCAAUGUGACACAACUCAUUCAAAACUUUGCCAAGAGAAGCUUAGGAGUCAGACAUGGUUGCUUUAUCAGGAGGCCAUUCUCUUGGUUUUUCACAUUGUUCCUCAUUUGAAGCUGGGCUUCGCAACUUCAGUUCAGUCCAUGAAGUUGAUCCAAAGCAUGAACAUUGAGUUCACAGAGAAGCUAAGAAAGAAAUUCCCAAGCCAAACAAGGAUCAUAAUGCAGGAAAGUUCCUAGACUCGACCUCUGCACUAUUACAUGCAACUCAUGGAAGGGAAAAUGUUUUUGGAUCAGAUCAAGCACUGUUUGCUGAUUACAGAUUGUAGGACAAAAUGGAUUGUUGAAUUCGUUUGCAAAGGAUCAAAGUUUGUUGUUCCUUGGAGAAUUUGUGGCUUCAAUGUUGAAAUUGAAACUUGGAAAUUUUGGGGUAAUUGAAAAUGGAGAAGCCAGACAUAAAGUGGCUAAUUGAGACAAAGUGACUCAGUGAGUGCAGUCCGAAGGCAAUUUUUUUUUUCUUCUUUUGUUAAGUUCUUCCCCCCCUUCUCUGAUUAGAAAUGAUGUGAGGCUGAUCAUGUUAAGAGUUCUCCAUGUCUCAAUAAAUUGCUAUCAUUUCCAUUGCUUGCUAAAAUUCUCUCCCCUUUUCUUUUCAGGUCAGUUGGUCAAAUAUAGGCUGGUAGAUAUAUUAUUCUCUUUAUGGAAGUUGAACUGCUUUAUUGUGUUUUUAUGCAAUAUUAGAAGAGGAAUAUCGACAAUCAUUGAUAAAUUAAUGCCUCUCAUGAAUAUUUCAUUGCUUCCUGUGUUUAACAGGGCAGUUGAAGGUGGAAAGCUUCUCUAUAUGAUUGGGUUUUUCGGUAACGGGAAAGGCAUUAUUAAUUCUUAAAAGGUCCUUCCAAACUAAAAUUAUUCCAAAGAAGGAAAUAUAAGCAUUUUGCUAUGAUCAAAACUCAAAAGCUGUAAUCACUAUUGGCACAACAAAAGUACAAACAAUUUCUAGUUGAAAAACACCUUUAUUCGACUGUGUAAAUUAAGAAAAUUUGGCCACGAUGAUGAUCAAGUUAAUUGUCAGUGUGAGGUAAUCAGUAUUCACUGUUGAUGCAUAAAAGAGCAGGACAAAAUAACACAAUAUGGCGCAUGUGGAAGAAAUCACACAGGCAGCAGAAUUUUUUUGAGCAUGCUUUUGAACUAAGAAUGUUGCAGUGUGAGGAUGUGUGAAGCUAUCCACCUUGUGUCUCAAGUGCCCAAUCCAGUUUAACAAAGCCAGCAAAGAAGAUGCAUUGCAGAACAAGAGAUUCAGAAAGAAAGCAAAGAAACAGAGCUAAAGUAAAAAAAAAACUUACAGAUUUUGCUUCAUUUAAAAGAGGCAGCCACUCUUUAAGCAAAAACUACAUCUGAACGGAACACAUAUUUGACACCUUUGGUAACAUUCCGGGCUUCAUGCAGCAUACACUUGUCCCCAUGAAUGUGUAAUAGAGCCAUCCCUUCAGUUGGAGCCACUUCAGCGACAACACCAUUCCUUGAACCAUAGAAGACGGUUUCUCCUCCAACUAGAGGCUCUGAGGAAGAAUCCUUUGAGCCAUUUGGAUCAUUUUUAGUUUUGGCUUUAGAAUCGCCACUUAAAUAUAUUAGCAGUGUAUAAUGGGUACGCUUCCCAUCCCCAAGAUCAACACUUUCAUCAAUAUGCCGUCCAAAACGCUGGCCUGCCUUGUAUCUAUAGAAUCUGAUAUUUGGAUUUAAACCAACAGCAACCUUUCCCCUGAUUUUAAUAUCAGAAAACAAUUUGUUAAGUCCAGACUCCCAUACUGUAUUUGCAAGAACGGGAUCAUUUGCAGAUGUUCUAUCAUUAUCUCUAUAAGCUUCUCCUUUAGUUGGACCAAGACUCCCCUGGUGAACAAAUCCAAUAGAUUCUGCAGCUUUGAUAAAAGCCUUCGAUUCACCAGCUGUGAAAAAACGCUGCACAGUGAAAAGAUCGGUAUCUUUGAGAUGAUUAAUCUGGAGAUUUUUCUUGGGUUUGAUAAGAGGCCACUUCUUAGAUUUGCCACUAUCUGCCUCUCUUCUCUCUCCCAUCUUUCUCUUCUUGGUAUUUGUUCCUUCC